Molecule: RNA transcript, 2038 nt
Organism: Microplitis demolitor
Lineage: Eukaryota; Metazoa; Arthropoda; Insecta; Hymenoptera; Braconidae
Exons: 8
Source: RefSeq, a predicted model, not a curated record
GGUCACAAAUUUCGACAUUUGCAUUUAUAAAGACGUUUUUGACAGAAUUUUUUAAUAAAGCAUUUUUGGAGAAUAGAUGCGGAAUUUACGGUCACAUUAAAAACCGUCAUGAAUUUGGUCAUUUUCAUCUAUAUACGCGUUUGUGACGAAAAUUUUCAAUUAUAAUUUAUUGUCAAAUACAAACUAUAAAAGAAUUUGAUCAUUGUAUUACCGAAAUUUACCGAGAUAUUUCAGUUUUAGCUUGUACAAUCGCCAUCAUUAAUGCCUGGGAAAAAAAUUUGAAAGUUGCAACCACUCUGUAUGUUGUCAUAGUUAAGGCGAAAAAUAUCCGUUGGCGACAGUGGGAGCAUAGAGGAGUGUGAACUUAGGCCAAGUGAAAGGAAAUGUAUUUAAAGUGGUUAAUAGUUCAAUGACAUAUGUAAACAAACAUAAGGGUUAGUAAAUAAAUAUUAAUUUUUAUUUGUUUAUAUAAAAAACAAUGUUGUGCUUGGUGAAGAACUGUUUAUUAAAGUGUGUAGCUUUAAUUAAUGAAUUAAAAUAAAUAAAAUGUUAUUAAAAGUAGUAAUUGUGAUUUAAAAAUUUCUGAUCUGUAGCGUGCAGUGUUAAACGUGAAAUAUUAAUUAAAAGUUGAAUAAAAUUAAGUGAUUUCAAUUAAAGAGCAUAUACAAUCACAGACUUUAGGUUAAAUGUACAUAAGUCUGAGGAAAAGUUCAAUUGGUGCACUUGCUAGUACUCUAGCUAAGUAUACUAUUUACGGAUACUACUGGUUAUAAGAUGUUAUAAGGUAGCUAGGACGAAUUCUGGGACAAAUUCACAACAAAUUCACAAUCAUAUUCAUAUAUGAUAAAAUAUUUAAUUAUUAAUUAACUUUUGUUUAAGAAAUUUAUUAAUCAUAAAUGUUAUAAUUGUAAUAAAUAAUAAAUAAAUAAAUAUACAAGUAAAGAGAGUCAACUCUUGCUCAGUUAUUUUAUAAUUCAUCUCUCAAGUUCAUUUAAAUUUAAUAUUAUAGUUAUUAUUAUUAUUUGAUGGUAUCAUCGUAUCGUCAUUAUGACGCUUGUCCGUCUAUCCGUAAUUUGUCACUAAGAUGAAAUUGAAGUUUUUGGUGGACUCUGGCUGAGGAUACUAUUUUUACAAAGACUGCUGGUUAUAAAGUAUUUACUAGUUAUGGUGAUUAUUAUCUGGGCAAAUCUGCUCGAGGCUGAUUGGAUGUUAAAUUGGAGCAUUACGUUGGAUCCCGGCUGAGGACCUUCUCUUCAUUGCGAGUACUGGCCAUUAAUUUAUGGAUGUACAGGCUACAUAAAAAAUUUCCCAAUGAAAUUUUCACGGAUUUAAUGAAGAAUUUAAUUGGAAUACGCCAAGAGACUACGACUCAGGAUUUUGUUCGAUUUUCUCUGUUGGUAAUCGUACAUUUCUCCAUGAUGAUUUCAUUUUCCAAUAUAUUAAUUAAACAAAUUCUGUGAAUUCGUAUUAAAACAAAACAAAAACAAAUAUAAAUCAAUUCGUACCUUUAGUAACAAUGAAGACUUUGUCCCUUGUUAAUAAAAAAAAAAAGUAACAAUUACGAUCGAGAAUUUCAGUUGUUUUUAGUGUUCACUUCAUUUAUUCAUUCGUCACCGGUUACCAUCGCAUCAUCACUUGCCACUAUGAUCUCUCCAAACAAAUGGACUUUCAAUGAAGAAUAUGCAAUGGUUCGUUCUCGUCUCCUGGAACAUGGGACGGAUUAUAAGUUUAAUCGUUUACGAGACGAUGACCUUGGCAUAUGGGAAAUUAUUUCUCAAGAACCAAUUCUCGUAAACGGAAAAAAAGAAGCUACGAUGUGCCGGGACCGGUUCUUCGACAUCAUUGAUGUUUUUUUGGUUUAUUUUAACAUGUCAGACAGGCAACGAAUGUCGGUGAACUUGCCUGCACAUUACAUGCUUUUUCAAUAUUACCUCACUCAAUGUGAUGCAGUUUUUUAGAAAAAUUGGGCUGAGUAAAAAUUAAAAGUGAUCUUCAAAAUGAAAAUGAAUAAAAUUUUUUUGGAUUCUCAACAAAUUAA